GUGACGUCAGGCAUUCAGGUGAAUUGAAGACCGGUGUGCACGAGAGGAGUUAUCUAAUAGAGGUGAAGCAAGAUGGCGGGCGACCGCGCGGCAUUCUCUCAGGAUUUUCGCCCAAGGAGGACGCAGUCGCGUUUGAGGUUUGAGCACAGCACGUCACAAUUUCCUUUCUUUUGCUUCAUUCAGCACGGUGCUUGGGUUCUUUGGCCGCUAGUAUUUCCUAUAUUUUUUUCAUGCUAGCCAGCUCGUUGCAUUCUUGCAUUCUAAGUAAAAUGAAAGACACACGUGGUGGCUUUGUAUUAGUGGAUUGAGCUAUAAAAGUGGCGUUUUGUUUGAACGUUUGAUUAAUUAUCUGCUCUUACUGUGCAUGCAAAAUGUUUUUUCACUCCCUUAUAUGAAAAAGGCCUAUUGCAUUUCAGUGUUUCAUUUUGGCAAUUCAUGAUUGUCAAAUCCUUGACGCUUCAAAGCCCUUCCGCUCCAAAUAAAACCAGAUUAAAUGAAUGGAUAAAUAAAUGCAUAGAUUAAUACAUAAACCAUUAAAUGAAUACAUAAAUGAAUAAAUGCAUAGAUAAAUACAUAGAAACACCAAUAAAUAAAAAUCCCCAUAAUAGAUUCCUCCAUGCUGGUUGAUACAUGACCAACACAAACUUGCGAAGCUUUUGCGAGCACCCUGGUGUCCGGUCGAAAGGGACGCAUCAUUUUCGGACCCCGAAACGCUGCAUGUGUGUUUUGCAGGCUGGAAGCCAAAGGGGAUGUGGAAAAGGACCAGUUUUGAAGGCUGGAUGGAAGAGGAGCCAAAGGGGAUGUGGAAAUUGAACACUUUUGCAGACUGGCAUAGGAGCCAAAGGGGAUCUGGAAAGGGAACAGCAAGAAUCAAGCAUCAGGCAAAAGUCGACGUGUAGGGAUGGUGUGACCAGGAGGGGACAGUGUUGCGCUCUGGUUGCCUUUGGUUAUGGGUGCACGUCGGAAAGGUUGCCUUGAAAUCAGGGCAAAGAGUUUUUGGGGGUCUGAUGGUUGGACUUGGUUGUUCUUGCUUAAGGAGUGCGCUGUGGUUGAGGUUGUGGCUUGUCUGGAUCCAGAGCAGCUUUGUCUUGCGCAAGGAUUGCCAUUGAAAGCCGGACGGGGCAUUGUAACUUUUGGGGGGGAGACAGUCACGCCGAUGGACACAAACAAAACCUUGACGUGGAGCCGAAUGUCCAAUGUUGUGAUAUGACUUGUUGACUAUUGUAACAUUUUGUCUUUUUCUAACCUACCACUGUCGUACUUGCGUUUUUUGCUCUCCCCUCGGUCAGGGCGAUGUUGGAGCGAGCGGGUGGGUCCACAAGGUGCCGGAAACACAAACAAAACUUUGACGUGGAGCUGAAUGUCCAAUUUUAUGAUCCGACUUGUUGACUGUAACAUUUUGUCUUUUUCUAACCUACCACUGUCGUACAUGCGUUUUUUUGUUCUCCCCUCGGUGCAGGGCAGCGUUGGAGCGAGCCGGUUCAUGAGGUGCCGGAAAUAAUAACCAAAGUUUGACGUGAAGAAGGAUGUCUAAUUCUGCAAUCUGACUUGUAACAUUUUGUCUUUUUCUAACUUACCACUGUCGUACUUGUGUUCUUUGUUCUCCCCUUGGUGUAGGGCGACAUUGGAGCGAGCCGGUUCCGAAUGUCCAAUAUUGCAAUAUAACUUGUAAGCUUUUGUAUCAUUUUCUAACCUACCACUGCCAUACUUGCGUUUGUUCUCCCCUCGGUCUAGGGUGGCGUUGGAGCAAGCUGGUCCCAAAUGUCCAAUUUUGCAAUUUAACUUGUAACAUUUUGUCUUUUUCUAACCUACCACUGUUGUACAUGUGUUCUUUGUUUUCCCCUCGGUGUAGGGCGACAUUAGAGCAAGGCGGUCCCGAAUGUCCUAUUUUGCAAUGUAACUUGUAACAUUAGGUCUUUUUCUAACCUACCACUGUCGUAUUUGCGUCCUUUGUUCUCCCCUCGGUGUAAGGCAGCGUUGGAGUGAGCCGGUCCACGAGGAACCAUCGGUUGAGGGUGUUCAAGACCGAACGACGCGAGCAGCGCGCAACUCAUUGCAUGUUCUGCUUUUUGCAGGUUGGACGCAAAACGGAGACGCACGGCCCGACCCGCCGACGGUAACAAAGAGUAGCUAGCUGCUGUGAUCGAAUGGCGACCGGGACACGACUCAAUCUGAUCCGAGGUGGACCGGGUGGCAUCACUCUGCAGCCAGGUUCUGAGGGAGACCUGCUUCCCUGGAGACGUCGACCUGCGCAGCGGCAAUGCGUGAAAUGGAUUUUUUUUUUUUUUUUUUAAAUUCACAACAGUGGUGUCCGAACGUCUGUUUGAGGGCCUCGUACUGGAACAAAUUAAGAAUUCCUUGACAAAAAUUAAUUAAAGAUUCUAAUUCUAAUCAAUCACAACAUUUUUCUAUUAAGUGUUAAUAUCUUGUGCGUGUGCUACAAAACGGUGUUUAUUUUGAAUGUUAUUCAUGUGGUGUCUUGAUAAAUCAGACCGCAAAAAUUGAUCAGUUGUAUUUUGGCGCUCAGAGUGGCCCGUGUCCAAUGGCCUUUUGUGACAAAGAGCCCCCAUGCCGCAGUUUGGACACCAAUGGUGACGUGUGUGUGUGUAGGGCUGAACGUGUAUUGGAAAACUGCCACUCGGUGGUAUACUUUAUCGGCAUGCACUUUAAGAAACAAAAGAUUUAUUGAUCCAAGUUAAUGUUAACAUCUGAUCUCAUACAGUUGACAUAGUUAAGUUCCAUCCCAAGUUGUUGCAUGACUUUGCUCAGUGCAAUGGUCUGGCCCAGUACUGCCAUAUCACUGGUUUUCCAAUAUGUUGUACAGCCUUGAUUGAGUGCAAGCGCGCAGCGACGGCAAGCGACCGCGCAAGCGAGACUUUUGUGCUUGUCUUGAAAGGUGAACGAGAAGCUGCACAAAACGCAGAGCCGGCGGAUGGGGGUCACGAGAGAUUGGCGAGCAAAGGAAGAAAUCACCCCAAGAAAAGCAGUCUCCAUGUGAAGAAGAGGAAGUAGCCCGAUGCAUGGCUGGCCAGAGGGCUCGCUCACGUGGCGUCGGAGGGACCGGAGCAGUUCCUCAAAUGAAGAUGAGUACCAUCUGCCGGUCACUGAGUACGUUGACAGAAGUGAACCGCAUGCAACGGAGUGCCGUCUUUCUUUUUGCAGUUGCGCGAGGCAGAGGAAGGGUGCAAACGUCGAAAACCGGCCCGGAGCGGACCCGAACCUUCUGCAGACCUUAGCCCGUGACGAGCGGCCCACAUGAGGCGGGUGCAGAUGCGGCGAGGCCGGGUGGGCAAAGCAGCUAACAUUUAGGGAGAGUAUGACUUACUUUUUUUUUUCCUUUUGCACUUUCUUGCCCUCCCUCCACUUUCUCACUGGGUGUGCACACUGUCUGUCUGCAUGAUGCUUCUCUUUCUUCCAAGUGCUGUUGUUGUGCAAUAUUGUUAAAGUGUUUUUUUUAAUACAUAGAGUGAACUGUAAAGUUUGUACUGUAAUUAUGUGCCUCUGUACCUGAAUUAAAUUGUUAACUGAAAUCAAGUGGUCCAUUUUCAACAUUGGCCUGUGUAGUCUCGCUGUGCGUAAUGAGGUGAAUGUCAAGUAGACUGACACACAUAGAUGCAAAUGACAAGCGUGUCAAAGCGUAAAAAGUCGGCGUUGCAACCCAUGAAGUAUGUCUUUGGCAAACCUUUUUGCAACCCUGCUGUAAAAUGGCCACUGAAUUCAGAAUCUGGCUCUGUUUUGGUGCACACUUUUUGUACGAGUAAAAGCCUUUAUUUUAUUGAAGUCCAAGCCUGUUUUUCUUUUUGCGGUUAGAUUGUCAUGCUGGGUGUUUCUGUGAAUAAAGUUGACUUUGGUGUGUUUUGUUUCUGUGGGUGUUCUUUGUAAAU
Molecule: long non-coding RNA, 3884 nt
Organism: Syngnathus typhle (broad-nosed pipefish)
Lineage: Eukaryota; Metazoa; Chordata; Actinopteri; Syngnathiformes; Syngnathidae
Exons: 4
Source: RefSeq, a predicted model, not a curated record